This 439-nucleotide ribosomal RNA is filed under the name uncultured bacterium. Its description in RNAcentral is "bacterial SSU rRNA". It matches the Rfam family "Bacterial small subunit ribosomal RNA", at positions 338 to 795 of the family's 1533-position model. The record is from RNAcentral.
CCUACGGGGCGCAGCAGUGGGGAAUCUUGGACAAUGGGGGCAACCCUGAUCCAGCCAUGCCGCGUGAGCGAUGAAGGCCUUAGGGUUGUAAAGCUCUUUCGCCGGUGACGAUAAUGACGGUAGCCGGAGAAGAAGCCCCGGCUAACUCCGUGCCAGCAGCCGCGGUAAUACGGAGGGGGCUAGCGUUGUUCGGAAUUACUGGGCGUAAAGCGCGCGUAGGCGGACUGGCCAGUCAGAGGUGAAAUCCCAGGGCUCAACCCUGGAACUGCCUUUGAUACUGCCAGUCUAGAGAUCGAGAGAGGCGGGUGGAAUUCCGAGUGUAGAGGUGAAAUUCGUAGAUAUUCGGAGGAACACCAGUGGCGAAGGCGGCCCGCUGGCUCGAUACUGACGCUGAGGUGCGAAAGCGUGGGGAGCAAACAGGAUUAGAUACCCCGUAGUC